CCUACGGGAGGCAGCAGUGGGGAAUAUUGCUCAAUGGGGGCAACCCUGAAGCAGCAACGCCGCGUGGAGGAUGAAGGUUUUCGGAUUGUAAACUCCUUUUGUUAGAGAAGAUAAUGACGGUAUCUAACCACUCAGCACCGGCUAACUCCGUGCCAGCAGCCGCGGUAAUACGGAGGGUGCAAGCGUUACUCGGAAUCACUGGGCGGAAAGAGCGCGUAGGCUGGAUAGCAAGUCAGAUGUGAAAUCCUAUGGCUUAACCAUAGAACUGCAUUUGAAACUGGUAGUCUAGAGUAUGGGAGAGGUAGGUGGAAUUCUUGGUGUAGGGGUAAAAUCCGUAGAGAUCAAGAGGAAUACUCAUUGCGAAGGCGACCUGCUAGAACAUAACUGACGCUGAGGCGCGAAAGCGUGGGGAGCAAACAGGAUUAGAUACCCCAGUAGUC
Molecule: ribosomal RNA, 440 nt
Filed under: uncultured bacterium
Lineage: Bacteria
Description: partial 16S ribosomal RNA
Rfam family: Bacterial small subunit ribosomal RNA
Source: RNAcentral